CGUGGCCCACAACAGAUCAGUUGCCCAGCCUUCUGUCACACUGUCUUGUAAGUGCUUUCAAGGAACUGCUGGGAUUAUUUGCCACAAGUCACAUGCUCAGUAUUGCUUGUUUUAUAGCUAAAAACAAUCCCUCGUCCCUGCUGUCACUGUUGUGCUUGUGAAUCAGAUUUAGCCUGACUGCUAUGGGAUGGGAAUGACUGUUGGGCCUGACUUCAGUGCUGGCCCAGCAGAGCCUGCAGCCGUGAGGCCUGAGAGGCCCUGUCCCACAGCAGGUACUGCGAAUGCAUCUGGGACAGGGUCUCAGCAGGAGCUGACCUCAGGAGAGGAUGUUCCUUUAGCUCUGGGCUUACUUCUCCUACCUGGAUCAAGCCACUCAUUUGAACCAGGCCUUCUUCCUUCCAUCUGUAUCCUGCGACCAUUAAACCCUGACAUCAGGAUCCCACACCAAUGA
RNAcentral lists this long non-coding RNA (451 nucleotides) under Numida meleagris (helmeted guineafowl). RNAcentral describes it as "lncRNA (ENSNMEG00000008954.1)". The record is from RNAcentral. Lineage: Eukaryota; Metazoa; Chordata; Aves; Galliformes; Numididae.